This 814-nucleotide long non-coding RNA is filed under the name Homo sapiens (human). Its description in RNAcentral is "non-protein coding ID2-AS1:2". Lineage: Eukaryota; Metazoa; Chordata; Mammalia; Primates; Hominidae. The record is from RNAcentral.
GAGCCCAGCUGGGGUGGUAAAUAGAGUACAGUACAAAAGCGGAAGGGGCAGGCCUAGAAGCUGAAAGAAAAGCUCGAUAAUGGGGAAACAGUGUUUUUUCCUUCAAUUAAUGAUUAAUUUCUCAGCUGGUGGGGCCAGCAGUCUCUGACCGUCACGUGACAGCUAUGCGCCCCAUGACGCCUCUCCAGGGAGGCAGAGUGGGUGGCACUGAGGUGGAGCUCACCUUCCUGAAAUUCAGCCCCCUCAGUUUGGAGGAAGGAGGUAAACUGUUUCCUGUCCAGCCAGAAGUUUGCGGAGGGCCUUCCCCAGGCCAGGCAAUGCUGCCUGCGACUCUGUCCCUGACAGCGUUGGAUGCACCGUAUCUCUUCUGAUAUUAAGUCUGGAAGUGAUUUACUAUCCGAGUCCUCCCACAGUUCGAGCCUUUUGAUGUACUUUGUGUGCAUGUGUUUCUGUCACAUACGUGCCACAGUGGAACAGAUUUUGUUUUGACACUAUUUUGGUUCAUGAUGUUAUACUUUGACUAUUUUACAAUAAUAGCCAAUGUAAACAAACAUCUUUGGGAUUCUCAAAUUAUUACUUAUGAUUCUUGGACAUUGCAGCUCUUCGAUACUGACGCAUUCCUAGCUUUUUCCAAGGACACCGUAUGUUAACAUCCGUGCCAGCCUCAUUAUCCCCACAGCCAGGCUCUGGGUUGGGCGGUAAUGAGCAUUGUGCGGUUUCACUUUACACUUUGCAAAGUUGAUUAAGGCAGUGCCUUCUCCCAUGAUCAUUUUUGUACCCUGAUGUAGUAAAAUGGCUAAAUAUGGUGAAAGUU